Molecule: transfer RNA, 65 nt
Filed under: Rivellia apicalis
Lineage: Eukaryota; Metazoa; Arthropoda; Insecta; Diptera; Platystomatidae
Description: tRNA-Phe
Rfam family: tRNA
About the family: Transfer RNA (tRNA) molecules are approximately 80 nucleotides in length. Their secondary structure includes four short double-helical elements and three loops (D, anti-codon, and T loops). Further hydrogen bonds mediate the characteristic L-shaped molecular structure. tRNAs have two regions of fundamental functional importance: the anti-codon, which is responsible for specific mRNA codon recognition, and the 3' end, to which the tRNAs corresponding amino acid is attached (by aminoacyl-tRNA synthetases). tRNAs cope with the degeneracy of the genetic code in two manners: having more than one tRNA (with a specific anti-codon) for a particular amino acid; and 'wobble' base-pairing, i.e. permitting non-standard base-pairing at the 3rd anti-codon position.
Source: RNAcentral
AUUUAAGUAGCUUAAGUUAGAGUAUAGCCCUGAAGAUGCUAAGGUAAUCAUUAGAUUCUUGAAUA